GCCACUUUGAUUGCUGACUGGUUACAACAAACAUUAGCCUAUUAUGUACAGAAGUCAUCAACCAGUCAAUGGGUGAUUUUCUGGGCAUAUCUAGGGAAAUGUUUUUAAUGACAGUCCCUAAAUGUAUUUAAAUUUCAGUUGUCUCCCAACAUGGAAGCUCCUCUUUAUAGAUCCAAAUUUUGGAAACUAUAUAAGUCAUGCCAUUCAGUUCUCUUUAUUCUCCUUACUAUCUAUUGACAAUUUUAACCUCCCUCAGAGCACUGGUUUUAUGGGGCAGAAGGCAAGAUUCUUUGCGGCAAAUUUCAUGCUAUGCCCAACAUCAACGUUGGACAAUUGCUUGCUGGGUGGAUUGCUACACUAGAGUGUUCUAAAGUUUAUUCUACACAUUUUAAACCUGGAGAGAACUUAAUGUUCUAAAUAACUCUAUUGCCUCUUGCACAAAUGAAUUACAGCACUUUUCCUUAUAAGCAUUAUCAGCGCCAACCUAAGUAAGCACUUGGGAAAUAGUUGAGGGGAGAGAAUAAGUAAAUGAAUUAAUAAGUAACUGAAUAUUUAUGCUGCCUCAUAAAAUCUCCCAUACAGUGCACUCAUGUUCAGGAGCAUUAUUUGCAAUUGCCAAAAUAUGGGAGCAACCCAAGUGUCUGUUGGCAGAUGAGUGGAUAAAUGGAAUAUAUUAUUCAGCCAUAAAAAGGAAGGAAAAUUCUGACACACGCUGCAACAUGGAGGACCUUGAGACAUUAUGCUAAGUGAAACGAGCCAGUCACAAAAGGACAAAUACAGUGUGGUUCCUCUUCUGUGAGGCACCUAGAGUACUCAUUGUUUAGAGUCGGAAGUAGAAUGCUGGUCACCCAACUGGACUAUUAACAAUAGUUAAUUCCAGAGUCUCAGUUCCGGAAGAUGAAACAAGUUCUGGAAAUUGGUGGUGCUGAUAACUGCACAACAAUGUGAACAUACUUGAUACUACUGAACUAUACACUUAAAUGUGUAAGCUUUAUGUUAUGUGUCUGCAAAAUUUUUAGAGAAUUCGGUAGAAAGAGAUAUUCUGUUCGGGACUGGGAGAACAAAUUGUACAUACAGCCCUGUAACUUGGAG
This 1092-nucleotide long non-coding RNA is filed under the name Marmota monax (woodchuck). Lineage: Eukaryota; Metazoa; Chordata; Mammalia; Rodentia; Sciuridae. The record is from RNAcentral.